AGCAACCGAUCCAAGUGGAGGAAUUGAGAUCGGAUCCUCACGAUGCGUCUCUCAAGAUCGAAUUGGAGAAACUUCACUUUAAGAUUGGCAUACUUGAAUCUCUCGCAGAUGAAAGAACUAGUGAACUGAGAAGCAAAGACGAAGUGAUAGGGGAGAAGGAGAAGACCAUCCAUGAAAAUUUGGAUAAAAUUGUUCUGUUAUAGAGCAAGAUUGCAUCCCUCAAGGAGAAAGGGAAGUUAGAUGCUGAUGCUAAAUUGGGAAAGGCAUAUAACCAUGUUGAUGAACUAGAGAAACGGGUUGAGAGUCUCAAGAAGAAAAUAGAAGCAAAAGACAAGGAAAUAGAAGUUUUUAUUUCUCAAUAUAAUGCCCAAAUUAUUGAAUUAAACUCAAAACUGGGGAGUGUAAGCUCUUAUCCUUUUCCAGAUUUUAGAUGCUCUAAUUGAGCUUGUUUGAUGUAGGAUUUUUUUUAAAGAAAACGAUUUGUUUUGGAGAAAAUCUUGUUCGAUGAAAAAGUGGAUUAUUUAGGUU
Long non-coding RNA from Impatiens glandulifera, 528 nucleotides. RefSeq lists it as uncharacterized. The transcript is spliced from 4 exons. NCBI's taxonomy places the organism in Eukaryota, Viridiplantae, Streptophyta, Magnoliopsida, Ericales, Balsaminaceae. The record is from RefSeq and is a predicted model, not a curated record.